RNAcentral lists this long non-coding RNA (806 nucleotides) under Rattus norvegicus (Norway rat). RNAcentral's name for it is "long non-coding RNA NONRATT022557". Lineage: Eukaryota; Metazoa; Chordata; Mammalia; Rodentia; Muridae. The record is from RNAcentral.
UGCUCCGUUAACGUUUUUUACUAAAGCACCCACACAAGUUUCUGUGCAACAUAAAAACAGAGUAGGCCCUGGGGCUCCUGCCUCCUCUCUAAGGGAGGGAGGCCAGAACCACUGACUGAUCCAGGCCCACCUGUCCCCCAUGCAAAGGCCAACCCCAUGAUCCCAGGAAACAACACAGCACCCCUUCUGGUCCCCUCCUGGGGGCGCUCCUCAGUAGGUGGCUUGCCAAAGCUUGCCCCCUACAAUAUUGAAUGAAAAAGGUUUCCCCUCCCCUGGAAGCAUGAGGGGUCUCCAGAUCUGAGAAUUCCCCCCUGGAAGAGACAUUGCCCCCUAGUUAAACCUCCCACCUUUCCAGGCCCUAGGGGACUCGAGGGGAGUGGGGAAACUGAGGCACAGAGAGGUGGAGUGACCUAGCUCAGGCCACUCCGCGAGGCAGUGCAGGGGCUGGCCCAACCCUAACAGUGAGGAGGUUUGGGCUGGGAAAAGUAGGACAGGAAGAAGGGUUGACCCCAGAGAGGGCCGUAAGAGGGGCUUGCCCAAACGCCCCUCAAAGUGAGUUCUGAAACUUCUAGGUGCGCUGGCUAUUAAGACUCAGAAAACAGCUCACAGUCUCAGUCUUGGGGACACCCCUAGAGCAGCUGUCAGCCAGGUUAUAGGUCAGUCCUCUGGCAGGCAGCCUUCCAUACCAGAAGGGCAUGGAGGGCCUUUGUCCGUUAGUGUCAGCCUUGAGUGAGCCAUGACAUGGGCUGCCCAAUGUCCACUGUGAUGUUGGUGAAGAGUGGUUGCCGAGAUACUUCCAAGACGCG